UGUUAGAAAACGUGGUUAAUGCCGGACCAGGAGGUGCCACUUUUUACACUGCAAUGAUCAGACCACUAGACACAACACAGACACAAAAACUGGGGCACAAGAAAGUGUUGAUUUCAUAACUGACCCCAUGGAGAUAGUAGUAGCUACAAACACCACCCAAAAUGACUCAGACACCUGUACCAACCUGUAUGACCAUCAUGGUUGGGCACAGUAUUUCCUGCCUACAGUGUAUUCUCUGAUUUGCAUUGUGGGACUGCUGGGCAAUGUGUUGGCUUUGCAUGUCAUCUGGCCUAAUUUAAAAAAAAUUAACUCCACAACUCUGUAUUCUGCCAACCUGGUGGUGUCGGACAUCUUGUUUUUGCUUGCUCUGCCCUUGCGUACGGUUUACUAUGCCAAGGGGUUCCACUGGCCAAUGGGGGAGGGUUUGUGCAAAGCCGUGGCGCUGUUGUUCUACAUCAACAUGUACGCCAGCGUCAACUUCAUGACUUGUUUGAGCGUGGACCGUUUCAUUGCAGUGGUGCUGCCACUGCGCUUCUCCCGAUUCCGAAAGGUUCAGAAGGUGCGGUACAUCUGUGCUGCCGUAUGGGUCCUUGUGUUGAUGCAGACCCUGCCUUUGUUGUCGAUGCCCAUGACGAGCGUGGAAAAAAGUGGUCACAUAACGUGUAUGGAGUAUCCCAACUUCGAGAAGAUUGACAACCUGCCUGUCAUGCUCAUUGGUGGCGUGUUGAUUGGCUUCGGCAUCCCUGUGAUCACCAUCCUGGUGUGUUAUUCCGCACUGUGCUCCAAGCUCCGCCUCCUGGCCAAGUCUAAUAAACUGACAGAGAAGUCAGGUCGUAGUCGCAAAGCCAUCGGCGUGAUUUGCACCGUCAUUCUCGUGUUUAUGGUGUGCUACACCCCUUAUCACAUCGACCUCCUGCAGUACAUGAUCAGAAAGCUGCGGUACAAGCCAGACUGCUCAGAACUGCAUGACUUUCAGAUCUCUCUUCACAUCACUGUCUGCUUAAUGAACCUUAACUCAUGUCUGGAUCCCUUCAUCUACUUCUUUGCCUGCAAGGGAUACAAGAAGAAGGUACUCAAACUGCUCAGGAAGCAAGUGAGCAUGUCCUUCUCGAGCGUGGUCAGGACCUCGCCUGAAGGCUCCUCCAAAGACGUGUUUGCAAACGACAAAAUCCAUAUGAGCUCCAGAAGCACUCAGAAAGAGAGGAGCAGUGUGCUGUUGAGCACCAGCAAUGGUUUUGAAAGAUAAACAACAACAAGAAAUGCAGUUCACUGACUAUAUGAGACUUAAUAUCAGAGCAAAUUUCUUACCUCUGGAUUAUUUUACACGCUGUUCAAGUUAUUGUUUCAGAUGGUUGUUAAUAUUUUGCUAUGCUGUUUAAAGAUUAUUGCACAUUUGUCUUACAUAUUGUAGUUCAUUUGAGUGCUAGAAUUUGUUAAUUUUUUAAAAAUUUAUAUUUUGAAUAAUAAUAAUAAUAAUAAUAAUAUUAAAGCUGCAAGCAGCGUUGAAAGGGCCCUUGCACCCGGGCUCACUGCCACCCAGUGGCUUCAGGAAGACUGGGAACGGUGAGCAAUAUGCAUUUAAAGAGGCAAAUAUAGAAGGAAUGUCAAAGUAGUUUAUAUCUGCCAAACUUCCUGCUGCCAGCUGGUGGCGCUAUGUCUAUAACUGAACAUUGGCAUGUAGAUGUCUUCAGACCAGUACUUUUAUCAAACAUAUGAAGUUUGGUGCAGAUUGAGCAUGGUAUAAUUGAGUUAGUGUAAAGCAUGACAUAUCAUUGUCAACAGGUGGCGCUAUGAUUAUAUCCGAAUAUUGGCCUUUAGAUGUCUUCAGGCCAGG
This is an RNA transcript of Sinocyclocheilus grahami, 1834 nucleotides long. It is a transcript of the gene named G-protein coupled receptor 183-A-like, with no coding region annotated. The record is from RefSeq and is a predicted model, not a curated record. Lineage: Eukaryota; Metazoa; Chordata; Actinopteri; Cypriniformes; Cyprinidae. The transcript is spliced from 3 exons.